Molecule: ribosomal RNA, 442 nt
Filed under: uncultured bacterium
Lineage: Bacteria
Description: partial 16S ribosomal RNA
Rfam family: Bacterial small subunit ribosomal RNA
Source: RNAcentral
CCUACGGGAGGCAGCAGUGGGGGAUAUUGCACAAUGGGGGAAACCCUGAUGCAGCGACGCCGCGUGGGGGAAGAAGGAUCUCGGGAUGUAAAGCCCUAGCAGCAGGGAAGAAGAAAUGACGGUAACUGAGUAAGAAGCACGGGCUAAAUAUGUGCCAGCAGCCGCGGUAAUACGUAGGGUGCAAGCGUUAUCCGGAUUCACUGGGUGGAAAGGGAGCGCAGGCGGCACGGCAAGCCUUAUGUGAAAGCAAGCGGCGCAACCGAGGGACGGCAUUUGAAACUGCCGGGCUGGAGUGCCGGAGGGGUAAGCGGAAUUCCUGGUGUAGCGGUGAAAUGCGUAGAUAUUAGGAGGAACACUAGUGGCGAAGGCGGCCUACUGGACGGUAACUGACGCUGAGGCUCGAAAGCGUGGGGAGCAAACAGGAUUAGAUACCCCAGUAGUC